UACGUAGGUGGCAAGCGUUGUCCGGAUUUAUUGGGUUUAAAGGGUGCGUAGGCGGCCUAUUAAGUCAGUUCUGAAAUAUCCCGGCUUAACCGGGAGGGUGGGAUUGAUACUGAUGGGCUUGAGUGGAGUCGAGGUAGGCGGAAUUGACGGUGUAGCGGUGAAAUGCUUAGAUAUCGUCAAGAACACCGAUAGUGUAGACAGCUUACUAGACUUCAACUGACGCUGAGGCACGAAAGUGUGGGGAUCAAACAGGAUUAGAAACC
RNAcentral lists this ribosomal RNA (263 nucleotides) under uncultured bacterium. RNAcentral describes it as "partial 16S ribosomal RNA". It matches the Rfam family "Bacterial small subunit ribosomal RNA", at positions 524 to 786 of the family's 1533-position model. The record is from RNAcentral.